UAUCAUUACUGACACUGAGGAACGAAAGCAUGGGUAGCGAAGAGGAUUAGAUACCCUCGUAGUCCAUGCCGUAAACGAUGUGUGUUAGACGUUGGAAAUUUAUUUUCAGUGUCGCAGCGAAAGCGAUAAACACACCGCCUGGGGAGUACGACCGCAAGGUUAAAACUCAAAUGAAUUGACGGGGACCCGCACAAGUAGUGGAGCAUGUGGUUUAAUUCGAAGAUACGCGCAGAACCUUACCAACACUUGACAUGUUCGUCGCGACUCUAAGAGAUUAGAGUUUUCGGUUCGGCCGGACGAAACACAGGUGCUGCAUGGCUGUCGUCAGCUCGUGUCGUGAGAUGUUGGGUUAAGUCCCGCAACGAGCGCAACCCUCACUUUUAGUUGCCAUCAUUAAGUUGGGCACUCUGAAAGAACUGCCAGUGAUAAGCUGGAGGAAGGUGGGGAUGACGUCAAGUCCUCAUGGCCCUUACGUGUUGGGCUACACACGUGCUACAAUGGCAUCUACAACAGGAAGCAAAACGGCAACGUUAAGCAAAUCCCGAAAAGAUGCCUCAGUUCGGAUUGCACUCUGCAACUCGAGUGCAUGAAGCUGGAAUUACUAGUAAUCGUGGAUCAGCGUGCCACGGUGAAUGCGUUCCCGGGUCUUGUACACACCGCCCGUCACACCAUGGGAGUUGGUUCUACCUUAAGGCAAGGUUUCAAACCCUUGACCACGGUAUAGUCAGCGACUGGGGUGAAGUCGUAACAAGGUAACCGUA
This 761-nucleotide ribosomal RNA is filed under the name uncultured bacterium. Its description in RNAcentral is "bacterial SSU rRNA". It matches the Rfam family "Bacterial small subunit ribosomal RNA", at positions 732 to 1504 of the family's 1533-position model. The record is from RNAcentral.